RNAcentral lists this ribosomal RNA (324 nucleotides) under uncultured Chloroflexota bacterium. RNAcentral's name for it is "bacterial SSU rRNA". It matches the Rfam family "Bacterial small subunit ribosomal RNA", at positions 28 to 351 of the family's 1533-position model. Lineage: Bacteria; Bacillati; Chloroflexota. The record is from RNAcentral.
GAUAAACGCUGGCGGCGUGCCUAAUACAUGCAAGUCGAACGGAGGUAUGUAGCAAUACUUACCUUAGUGGCGAAUGGGUGAGUAACGCGUUGGUGACCUGCCCCGAAGAGGGGGAUAACGGUUCGAAAGGACUGCUAAUACCCCAUGUGGUUGUAAAAGUUAGAUAUCUUACAUCUAAAGGAGAAAUCCACUUCGGGAGGGGCCUGCGUCCCAUCAGCUAGUUGGUAGGGUAAUGGCCUACCAAGGCGACGACGGGUAGGGGGCCUGAGAGGGUGGCCCCCCACACUGGCACUGAAACACGGGCCAGACACCUACGGGAGGCUG